CACACAGAGACAGUCACACACACACACACAGAGACAGACAGUCACACACACACACACAAGGACAGGCAGUCACACAGACAGUCACACACACACACACACAGACAGUCACAUGCACACAGGCAGGCAGUCACACAGACAGUCACACACACACACACAGACAGUCACACAAACAGGCAAACAGUCACACACACACACUUACCUCUUUCCAGUGGAUGCAGUUGGCUGAUGGGGAAGCAUCUUUCCCUCUUCCUGUACAGCAGG
Molecule: non-coding RNA, 261 nt
Organism: Pelobates cultripes (western spadefoot toad)
Lineage: Eukaryota; Metazoa; Chordata; Amphibia; Anura; Pelobatidae
Source: the annotation of a GenBank genome assembly